Molecule: ribosomal RNA, 1162 nt
Filed under: Escherichia coli
Lineage: Bacteria; Pseudomonadati; Pseudomonadota; Gammaproteobacteria; Enterobacterales; Enterobacteriaceae
Description: partial 23S ribosomal RNA
Rfam family: Bacterial large subunit ribosomal RNA
Source: RNAcentral
GGCGAUGAAGGACGUGCUAAUCUGCGAUAAGCGUCGGUAAGGUGAUAUGAACCGUUAUAACCGGCGAUUUCCGAAUGGGGAAACCCAGUGUGUUUCGACACACUAUCAUUAACUGAAUCCAUAGGUUAAUGAGGCGAACCGGGGGAACUGAAACAUCUAAGUACCCCGAGGAAAAGAAAUCAACCGAGAUUCCCCCAGUAGCGGCGAGCGAACGGGGAGCAGCCCAGAGCCUGAAUCAGUGUGUGUGUUAGUGGAAGCGUCUGGAAAGGCGCGCGAUACAGGGUGACAGCCCCGUACACAAAAAUGCACAUGCUGUGAGCUCGAUGAGUAGGGCGGGACACGUGGUAUCCUGUCUGAAUAUGGGGGGACCAUCCUCCAAGGCUAAAUACUCCUGACUGACCGAUAGUGAACCAGUACCGUGAGGGAAAGGCGAAAAGAACCCCGGCGAGGGGAGUGAAAAAGAACCUGAAACCGUGUACGUACAAGCAGUGGGAGCACGCUUAGGCGUGUGACUGCGUACCUUUUGUAUAAUGGGUCAGCGACUUAUAUUCUGUAGCAAGGUUAACCGAAUAGGGGAGCCGAAGGGAAACCGAGUCUUAACUGGGCGUUAAGUUGCAGGGUAUAGACCCGAAACCCGGUGAUCUAGCCAUGGGCAGGUUGAAGGUUGGGUAACACUAACUGGAGGACCGAACCGACUAAUGUUGAAAAAUUAGCGGAUGACUUGUGGCUGGGGGUGAAAGGCCAAUCAAACCGGGAGAUAGCUGGUUCUCCCCGAAAGCUAUUUAGGUAGCGCCUCGUGAAUUCAUCUCCGGGGGUAGAGCACUGUUUCGGCAAGGGGGUCAUCCCGACUUACCAACCCGAUGCAAACUGCGAAUACCGGAGAAUGUUAUCACGGGAGACACACGGCGGGUGCUAACGUCCGUCGUGAAGAGGGAAACAACCCAGACCGCCAGCUAAGGUCCCAAAGUCAUGGUUAAGUGGGAAACGAUGUGGGAAGGCCCAGACAGCCAGGAUGUUGGCUUAGAAGCAGCCAUCAUUUAAAGAAAGCGUAAUAGCUCACUGGUCGAGUCGGCCUGCGCGGAAGAUGUAACGGGGCUAAACCAUGCACCGAAGCUGCGGCAGCGACGCUGAUGCGUUGUUGGGUAGGGGAGCGUUCUGUAAG